This 799-nucleotide ribosomal RNA is filed under the name uncultured Mycobacterium sp. RNAcentral describes it as "bacterial SSU rRNA". It matches the Rfam family "Bacterial small subunit ribosomal RNA", at positions 565 to 1361 of the family's 1533-position model. The record is from RNAcentral. Lineage: Bacteria; Bacillati; Actinomycetota; Actinomycetes; Mycobacteriales; Mycobacteriaceae.
GAGCUCGUAGGUGGUUUGUCGCGUUGUUCGUGAAAUCUCACGGCUUAACUGUGAGCGUGCGGGCGAUACGGGCAGACUUGAGUACUGCAGGGGAGACUGGAAUUCCUGGUGUAGCGGUGGAAUGCGCAGAUAUCAGGAGGAACACCGGUGGCGAAGGCGGGUCUCUGGGCAGUAACUGACGCUGAGGAGCGAAAGCGUGGGGAGCGAACAGGAUUAGAUACCCUGGUAGUCCACGCCGUAAACGGUGGGUACUAGGUGUGGGUUUCCUUCCUUGGGAUCCGUGCCGUAGCUAACGCAUUAAGUACCCCGCCUGGGGAGUACGGCCGCAAGGCUAAAACUCAAAGAAAUUGACGGGGGCCCGCACAAGCGGCGGAGCAUGUGGAUUAAUUCGAUGCAACGCGAAGAACCUUACCUGGGUUUGACAUGCACAGGACGCCGGCAGAGAUGUCGGUUCCCUUGUGGCCUGUGUGCAGGUGGUGCAUGGCUGUCGUCAGCUCGUGUCGUGAGAUGUUGGGUUAAGUCCCGCAACGGGCGCAACCCUUGUCUCAUGUUGCCAGCGGGUAAUGCCGGGGACUCGUGAGAGACUGCCGGGGUCAACUCGGAGGAAGGUGGGGAUGACGUCAAGUCAUCAUGCCCCUUAUGUCCAGGGCUUCACACAUGCUACAAUGGCCGGUACAAAGGGCUGCGAUGCCGCGAGGUUAAGCGAAUCCUUUUAAAGCCGGUCUCAGUUCGGAUCGGGGUCUGCAACUCGACCCCGUGAAGUCGGAGUCGCUAGUAAUCGCAGAUCAGCAACGCUGCG